UUGAUGGUGCUUGCACCUGAUUGAUUUUGGUCGCCAACGAGUGGCGGACGGGUGAGUAACACGUAGGUAACCUGCCCAGAAGCGGGGGACAACAUUUGGAAACAGAUGCUAAUACCGCAUAACAGCGUUGUUCGCAUGAACAACGCUUAAAAGAUGGCUUCUCGCUAUCACUUCUGGAUGGACCUGCGGUGCAUUAGCUUGUUGGUGGGGUAACGGCCUACCAAGGCGAUGAUGCAUAGCCGAGUUGAGAGACUGAUCGGCCACAAUGGGACUGAGACACGGCCCAUACUCCUACGGGAGGCAGCAGUAGGGAAUCUUCCACAAUGGGCGCAAGCCUGAUGGAGCAACACCGCGUGAGUGAAGAAGGGUUUCGGCUCGUAAAGCUCUGUUGUUAAAGAAGAACACGUAUGAGAGUAACUGUUCAUACGUUGACGGUAUUUAACCAGAAAGUCACGGCUAACUACGUGCCAGCAGCCGCGGUAAUACGUAGGUGGCAAGCGUUAUCCGGAUUUAUUGGGCGUAAAGAGAGUGCAGGCGGUUUUCUAAGUCUGAUGUGAAAGCCUUCGGCUUAACCGGAGAAGUGCAUCGGAAACUGGAUAACUUGAGUGCAGAAGAGGGUAGUGGAACUCCAUGUGUAGCGGUGGAAUGCGUAGAUAUAUGGAAGAACACCAGUGGCGAAGGCGGCUACCUGGUCUGCAACUGACGCUGAGACUCGAAAGCAUGGGUAGCGAACAGGAUUAGAUACCCUGGUAGUCCAUGCCGUAAACGAUGAGUGCUAGGUGUUGGAGGGUUUCCGCCCUUCAGUGCCGGAGCUAACGCAUUAAGCACUCCGCCUGGGGAGUACGACCGCAAGGUUGAAACUCAAAGGAAUUGACGGGGGCCCGACCAAGCGGUGGAGCAUGUGGUUUAAUUCGAAGCUACGCGAAGAACCUUACCAGGUCUUGACAUCUUGCGCCAACCCUAGAGAUAGGGCGUUUCCUUCGGGAACGCAAUGACAGGUGGUGCAUGGUCGUCGUCAGCUCGUGUCGUGAGAUGUUGGGUUAAGUCCCGCAACGAGCGCAACCCUUGUUACUAGUUGCCAGCAUUAAGUUGGGCACUCUAGUGAGACUGCCGGUGACAAACCGGAGGAAGGUGGGGACGACGUCAGAUCAUCAUGCCCCUUAUGACCUGGGCUACACACGUGCUACAAUGGACGGUACAACGAGUCGCGAACUCGCGAGGGCAAGCAAAUCUCUUAAAACCGUUCUCAGUUCGGACUGCAGGCUGCAACUCGCCUGCACGAAGUCGGAAUCGCUAGUAAUCGCGGAUCAGCAUGCCGCGGUGAAUACGUUCCCGGGCCUUGUACACACCGCCCGUCACACCAUGAGAGUUUGUAACACCCAAAG
Molecule: ribosomal RNA, 1385 nt
Filed under: Limosilactobacillus fermentum
Lineage: Bacteria; Bacillati; Bacillota; Bacilli; Lactobacillales; Lactobacillaceae
Description: bacterial SSU rRNA
Rfam family: Bacterial small subunit ribosomal RNA
Source: RNAcentral